This is a regulatory RNA element of 103 nucleotides. It matches the Rfam family "23S methyl RNA motif". The record is from Rfam.
UUAUCAGAUGUUUUUAUCAGGUUCUGCUUGUUAAAAACGGGUGAUAAUAAUCGUACUAACGUAACGCUUUGCCGUGUAAAUCACCGAAGCGCUGCGUUUUUUU